Molecule: ribosomal RNA, 883 nt
Filed under: Didymella mitis
Lineage: Eukaryota; Fungi; Ascomycota; Dothideomycetes; Pleosporales; Didymellaceae
Description: partial large subunit ribosomal RNA
Rfam family: Eukaryotic large subunit ribosomal RNA
Source: RNAcentral
ACAGGGAUUGCCCUAGUAACGGCGAGUGAAGCGGCAACAGCUCAAAUUUGAAAUCUGGCGUCUUCGGCGUCCGAGUUGUAAUUUGCAGAGGGCGCUUUGGCAUUGGCAGCGGUCCAAGUUCCUUGGAACAGGACGUCACAGAGGGUGAGAAUCCCGUACGUGGUCGCUAGCCUUUACCGUGUAAAGCCCCUUCGACGAGUCGAGUUGUUUGGGAAUGCAGCUCUAAAUGGGAGGUAAAUUUCUUCUAAAGCUAAAUACUGGCCAGAGACCGAUAGCGCACAAGUAGAGUGAUCGAAAGAUGAAAAGCACUUUGGAAAGAGAGUUAAAAAGCACGUGAAAUUGUUGAAAGGGAAGCGCUUGCAGCCAGACUUGCCUGUAGUUGCUCAUCCGGGUUUCUACCCGGUGCACUCUUCUAUAGGCAGGCCAGCAUCAGUUUGGGCGGUUGGAUAAAGGUCUCUGUCAUGUACCUCUCUUCGGGGAGAACUUAUAGGGGAGACGACAUGCAACCAGCCUGGACUGAGGUCCGCGCAUCUGCUAGGAUGCUGGCGUAAUGGCUGUAAGCGGCCCGUCUUGAAACACGGACCAAGGAGUCUAACAUCUAUGCGAGUGUUUGGGUGUCAAGCCCGAGCGCGUAAUGAAAGUGAACGGAGGUGGGAACCUUUCGGGGUGCACCAUCGACCGAUCCUGAUGUCUUCGGAUGGAUUUGAGUAAGAGCAUAGCUGUUGGGACCCGAAAGAUGGUGAACUAUGCUUGAAUAGGGUGAAGCCAGAGGAAACUCUGGUGGAGGCUCGCAGCGGUUCUGACGUGCAAAUCGAUCGUCAAAUUUGGGCAUAGGGGCGAAAGACUAAUCGAACUAUCUAGUAGCUGGUUCCUGCCGAAGUUU